Zeugodacus cucurbitae (melon fly) is the source of this 643-nucleotide long non-coding RNA. RefSeq lists it as uncharacterized. Lineage: Eukaryota; Metazoa; Arthropoda; Insecta; Diptera; Tephritidae. The record is from RefSeq and is a predicted model, not a curated record. The transcript is spliced from 3 exons.
UUUUAUUGUUGAAGUUUUUAUAUUACCUUCGCUAUCUUCAACAAUCCUGCAGAAACGAUUGUAAUACGCUCACUUAGCUGCAGCGGCAAUAGUUGUUCGUUUUCCUCCUUAAACCAGCUCGUAACUUUAUUUGUCUUCAUGGGUUUGUCCAAUUGUUCGAGAACUGCUUCGAGGACAUAAUCACCCAGCAAGUAAUGGGUACUGAAACUCCAACAUAUUCAAAGAAAUUUCAAUAACACCACUACAUUACACAUAUACGCAACAAAGGGUAAAAUAAGCAUAAAAAAUUAACUCAACUCUCCUCUUGUACAGCACCCUGAAUGAGAAAAAAGGAACAACCGAAGUUCUCAUGUGUUUGAACAAGUUUUGGUUUGAGCUAUAUCAUGGCUGCUUGUGGAGUAUUAGAUGUGUGUCAACUGGGUUUUGCCAAUGAGCUAGAAGGUAAAGCAGAUGCAGAAUUUUUGGACUUACCGGCACCUCAGGUGGCAGUACCAUUAGCAGCUAAAACAUAGAAAUCUGAGGGAGGAAUUUUUUGGUACAUUUUCACCUUGUAUUGAGUAAUCAUAACGUUGUUGUAUCGUUUUACAAGGACAUGUAUUCACCGAAAGUAGUUCAAUGGGAAUACUACAGCUAAAGAACGGUA